AACCUUUCAGCAGCCUCAUAAACAAAAUUCUUGAGGAACUCCUGGUCGCGGUACUCAAAGAACCUGACCACGACAACCUUGUUAACAAAGUCCUCAGUAACUUCGGCCAUGUUGAUGGUGUUGUUGAAGCCAUCAGUAACUUCAACCAUAUUUACAUCAUCUGGCUCUUUGUAAUGAGCGUCAUCUAGGGUCAAAGUCAAUCUUCAUCUAGCUCCUGGGUUUCUCUCCGAAUUUUGAG
RNAcentral lists this long non-coding RNA (238 nucleotides) under Lathyrus oleraceus (garden pea). RNAcentral's name for it is "Pisum sativum (pea) long non-coding RNA (PSAT_LNC028198)". Lineage: Eukaryota; Viridiplantae; Streptophyta; Magnoliopsida; Fabales; Fabaceae. The record is from RNAcentral.